Molecule: ribosomal RNA, 29 nt
Filed under: Macrophomina phaseolina
Lineage: Eukaryota; Fungi; Ascomycota; Dothideomycetes; Botryosphaeriales; Botryosphaeriaceae
Description: partial 18S ribosomal RNA
Source: RNAcentral
UUCCGUAGGUGAACCUUGCGGAAGGAUCA